GCCGGCGUACCCCAACAGGCAGAGGGAACGCGUUUAGGGCGCGGAGAGUGUGGGUUCGACUCCCACCGCCGGCA
Molecule: transfer RNA, 74 nt
Filed under: Iamia majanohamensis
Lineage: Bacteria; Bacillati; Actinomycetota; Acidimicrobiia; Acidimicrobiales; Iamiaceae
Description: tRNA-Leu
Rfam family: tRNA
About the family: Transfer RNA (tRNA) molecules are approximately 80 nucleotides in length. Their secondary structure includes four short double-helical elements and three loops (D, anti-codon, and T loops).
Source: RNAcentral